CAAAGCGUGAAGCUCCUGAUGAAGGACGAGAUCAUGGACACACAACACCAGCGGCGCAGAAAGACUCUCGAGACGAACCUGCAGCCAACAAACUCACACACCACACCUCAACACACUCCAGAACACACACCCACAUCAGACUCCUGCCAUCCGUGCAUCCCACCCAGCUCCUCUGACUGCAUCACUCCUCCUCCUCCUCUGGCUCAUGUCCCAGAAUCCCCUGC
Long non-coding RNA from Cyprinus carpio (common carp), 224 nucleotides. RefSeq lists it as uncharacterized. The transcript is spliced from 3 exons. The record is from RefSeq and is a predicted model, not a curated record. NCBI's taxonomy places the organism in Eukaryota, Metazoa, Chordata, Actinopteri, Cypriniformes, Cyprinidae.